Molecule: ribosomal RNA, 466 nt
Filed under: uncultured bacterium
Lineage: Bacteria
Description: partial 16S ribosomal RNA
Rfam family: Bacterial small subunit ribosomal RNA
Source: RNAcentral
AAUGAACGUUGGCGGCGUGGAUUAGGCAUGCAAGUCGAGCGGAAAGGCCCGCACGGGCACUCGAGCGGCGUAAGGGACAGUAAUGUGUAGGUACGUACCCCUGGGUCUAGGAUAGCUGCGGGAAACUGCAAUUAAUACUAGAUGAUGUCUUCGGACCAAAGGUGUGAUUCCACCCAGGGAGCGGCCUACAUCCUAUUAGCUAGUUGGUGAGGUGACGGCUCACCAAGGCGAAGAUGGGUAGCAGGUGUGAGAGCACGACCUGCGUCACUGGGACUGAGACACUGACCAGACACCUACGGGUGGCUGCAGUCGAGAAUCUUCGGCAAUGGGCGAAAGCCUGACCGAGCGACGCCGCGUGCGGGAUGAAGGCCGUCGGGUUGUAAACCGCUGUCGGAGGGGAUGAAAUGCCGAUGGGUACACCCAACGGCUUGACUGAUCCUCGGAGGAAGGGUGGGCUAAGUUCGUG